RNAcentral lists this transfer RNA (72 nucleotides) under Ktedonobacteraceae bacterium. Its description in RNAcentral is "tRNA-Glu". It matches the Rfam family "tRNA". Rfam says of the family: Transfer RNA (tRNA) molecules are approximately 80 nucleotides in length. Lineage: Bacteria; Bacillati; Chloroflexota; Ktedonobacteria; Ktedonobacterales; Ktedonobacteraceae. The record is from RNAcentral.
GCUCCGUUAGGCUAAAGGUCAGGCCAGCGGCCCUUCAAGCCGAGGAUGCGGGUUCGAGUCCCGUGCGGAGUA